UUCUAAUAUGGCAGAUUAGUGCAAUGGAUUUAAAUCCCAUAUAUAAAGUUUAUAUCUUUUUUUAGAAA
This 68-nucleotide transfer RNA is filed under the name Blepharhymenus sp. ZMUN 10008487. RNAcentral's name for it is "tRNA-Leu". It matches the Rfam family "tRNA". From Rfam's summary of the family: Transfer RNA (tRNA) molecules are approximately 80 nucleotides in length. Their secondary structure includes four short double-helical elements and three loops (D, anti-codon, and T loops). Further hydrogen bonds mediate the characteristic L-shaped molecular structure. tRNAs have two regions of fundamental functional importance: the anti-codon, which is responsible for specific mRNA codon recognition, and the 3' end, to which the tRNAs corresponding amino acid is attached (by aminoacyl-tRNA synthetases). tRNAs cope with the degeneracy of the genetic code in two manners: having more than one tRNA (with a specific anti-codon) for a particular amino acid; and 'wobble' base-pairing, i.e. permitting non-standard base-pairing at the 3rd anti-codon position. Lineage: Eukaryota; Metazoa; Arthropoda; Insecta; Coleoptera; Staphylinidae. The record is from RNAcentral.